UCAUGAGUCUCUGAAAAGUAGCUGGG
This 26-nucleotide non-coding RNA is filed under the name Bombyx mori (domestic silkworm). The record is from RNAcentral. Lineage: Eukaryota; Metazoa; Arthropoda; Insecta; Lepidoptera; Bombycidae.